UAAGGAAUAUUGGGCAAUGCCCGCAAGGGUGACCCAGCAACGCCGCGUGGAGGAUGAAUGUCGUAAGAUUGUAAACUCCUGUUAGAGGGGAAGAAUAGUACCGGUUGGACCGGUAUAUGACUGUACCCUCAGAGAAAGCCCCGGCUAACUACGUGCCAGCAGCCGCGGUAAUACGUAGGGGGCAAGCGUUGUCCGGAUUUACUGGGUGUAAAGGGCGCGCAGGCGGGAUAAAAAGUCAGUGGUGAAAUCCUACAGCUUAACUGUAGAACUGCCUUUGAUACUUUUAUUCUUGAGUUCGGGAGAGAGAGACGGAAUUCCAGGGGUAGUGGUGGAAUACGUAGAUAUCUGGAAGAACACCAGUUGCGAAGGCGGUCUCUUGGUCCGACACUGACGCUGAGGCGCGAAAGCGUGGGGAGCAAACA
This 422-nucleotide ribosomal RNA is filed under the name uncultured bacterium. Its description in RNAcentral is "bacterial SSU rRNA". It matches the Rfam family "Bacterial small subunit ribosomal RNA", at positions 355 to 774 of the family's 1533-position model. The record is from RNAcentral.